RNAcentral lists this ribosomal RNA (253 nucleotides) under uncultured bacterium. Its description in RNAcentral is "partial 16S ribosomal RNA". It matches the Rfam family "Bacterial small subunit ribosomal RNA", at positions 524 to 776 of the family's 1533-position model. The record is from RNAcentral.
UACGUAGGGUGCGAGCGUUGUCCGGAAUUAUUGGGCGUAAAGGGCUCGUAGGCGGUUUGUCACGUCGGGAGUGAAAACACCGGGCUUAACUCGGUGCUUGCUUCCGAUACGGGCAGACUAGAGGCAUGCAGGGGAGAACGGAAUUCCUGGUGUAGCGGUGAAAUGCGCAGAUAUUAGGAGGAACACCGGUGGCGAAGGCGCCACUCUGGGCCGAAACUGACGCUGAGGAGCGAAAGCGUGGGUAGCAAACAGG